GAUGAAGAACGCAGCAAAAUGCGAUAAGUAAUGUGAAUUGCAGAAUUCAAUGAAUCAUCGAAUCUUUGAACGCACAUUGCGCCCGCCAGUAUUCUGGCGGGCAUGCCUGUUCGAGCGUCAUUUCAACCAUCAAGCCCCCGGGCUUGUGUUGGGGACCUGCGGCUGCCGCAGGCCCUGAAAAGCAGUGGCGGGCUCGCUGUCACACCGAGCGUAGUAGAUUUUAUCUCGCUCUGGGCGUGCUGCGGGUUCCGGCCGUUAAACCACCCUUUUAACCCAAGGUUGACCUCGGAUCAGGUAGGAAGACCCGCUGAACUUAAGCAUAUCAAUAAGCGGAGGA
This 337-nucleotide unclassified non-coding RNA is filed under the name soil metagenome. Its description in RNAcentral is "partial contains 5.8S ribosomal RNA, internal transcribed spacer 2, and large subunit ribosomal RNA". The stretch from base 1 to 120 matches the Rfam family "5.8S ribosomal RNA", at positions 35 to 154 of the family's 154-position model. The record is from RNAcentral.